CGCCCUUGGUUACCUUGUUACGACUUCACCCCAGUCANNANNCACAAAGUGGUAAGCGCCCUCCCGAANNNUAAGCNANCUACUUCUUUUGCAACCCACUCCCAUGGUGUGACGGGCGGUGUGUACAAGGCCCGGGAACGUAUUCACCGUGGCAUUCUGAUCCACGAUUACUAGCGAUUCCGACUUCAUGGAGUCGAAGUUGCAGACUCCCAAUCCGGACUACGACAUACUUUAAUGAGGUCCGCUUGSUCUCGCGAGGUCGCUUCUCUUUGUAUAUGCCCAUUGUAGCAMSGUGUUGUAGCCCCCUACUCGGUAAGGGCCAUGAAUGACUUGGACGUCAAUCCCCACCUUNCCUCCAGUUUAUCACUUGGCAGUCUCCUUUUGAGUUCCCGGCCGAACCGCUGGCAACAAAAGGAUAANGGGUUGCGCCUCGUUGCGGGACUUUAACCCAACAUUUCACAACACGAAGCUGACGACAAGCCAUGCAGCACCUGUCUMAGAAGUUCCCGAAGGCACCAAAGCAUCUCUGCUUAAGUUCUCUGGGAUGUCAAGAGUAGGUAAAGGGUUCUUNNCGCGUUGCAUUCGAAUUAAACCACAUGCUCCACCGGCUUGUGCGGGCCCCCGUCAAUUCAUUUUGAGUUUUAACCUKGCGGCCGUACUCCCCAGGCGGUCGACUUAANCCGCGUUAGCUCCGGAAGCCACGCCUCAAGGGCACAACCUCCAAGUCGACAUCGUUUACGGGGUGGGACUACCAGGGUAUCUAAUCCUGUUUGCUCCUCCUNACGUANUUUCAGCACCUGAGCGUCAGUCUUUGUCCAGGGGGCCGCCUUCGCCACCGGUAUUCCUCCAGAUCUCUACGCAUUUNNNNGGUACACNUGGAAUNNUNCCCCCCUNNNNNNGNUCCAGCCU
RNAcentral lists this ribosomal RNA (909 nucleotides) under uncultured bacterium. RNAcentral's name for it is "partial 16S ribosomal RNA". The record is from RNAcentral.